Molecule: ribosomal RNA, 514 nt
Filed under: uncultured bacterium
Lineage: Bacteria
Description: bacterial SSU rRNA
Rfam family: Bacterial small subunit ribosomal RNA
Source: RNAcentral
AGAGUUUGAUCCUGGCUCAGGACGAACGCUGGCGGCGUGCUUAACACAUGCAAGUCAAGGGGGCCCGUAGCAAUACGGGCAACCGGCGAACGGGUGCGUAACACGUGAGCAACUUGCCGAUCUGCGGGGGAUAGCCGGCCCAACGGCCGGGUAAUACCGCAUACGUUCUCGAGAGGGAGUCCUCUUGGGAGGAAACCUUUAUUGGGCAGAUCGAGGGGCUCGCGGCCUAUCAGCUAGUUGGCGGGGUAAUGGCCCACCAAGGCACCGACGGGUAGCUGGUCUGAGAGGAUGGCCAGCCACAUUGGGACUGAGAAACGGCCCAGACUCCUACGGGAGGCAGCAGUGGGGAAUCUUGCGCAAUGGCCGAAAGGCUGACGCAGCGACGCCGCGUGUGGGAGGACGCCCUUCGGGGUGUAAACCACUGUUGCCCGGGACGAACACCCUCUUUCGAGAGGGCUGACGGUACCGGGUGAGGAAGCACCGGCUAACUCCGUGCCAGCAGCCGCGGUAAUAC